RNAcentral lists this transfer RNA (71 nucleotides) under Lacerta agilis (Sand lizard). Its description in RNAcentral is "tRNA-Leu". It matches the Rfam family "tRNA". From Rfam's summary of the family: Transfer RNA (tRNA) molecules are approximately 80 nucleotides in length. Their secondary structure includes four short double-helical elements and three loops (D, anti-codon, and T loops). The record is from RNAcentral. Lineage: Eukaryota; Metazoa; Chordata; Lepidosauria; Squamata; Lacertidae.
ACUUCUAUAGGAAAGCAGUAAUCCAUUGGUUUUAGGCACCAAAAAUCUUGGUGCAACUCCAAGUAAAAGUA